Molecule: transfer RNA, 72 nt
Filed under: Gefionella okellyi
Lineage: Eukaryota; Malawimonada; Malawimonadea; Malawimonadida; Malawimonadidae
Description: tRNA-Gln
Rfam family: tRNA
About the family: Transfer RNA (tRNA) molecules are approximately 80 nucleotides in length. Their secondary structure includes four short double-helical elements and three loops (D, anti-codon, and T loops).
Source: RNAcentral
UGGAUUAUAAUUUAAUUGGUAAAAUAUUGGUUUUUGAUAUCAUUUUUAAAGGUUCGAAUCCUUUUGAUCCAA